RNAcentral lists this ribosomal RNA (704 nucleotides) under uncultured bacterium. Its description in RNAcentral is "bacterial SSU rRNA". It matches the Rfam family "Bacterial small subunit ribosomal RNA", at positions 56 to 750 of the family's 1533-position model. The record is from RNAcentral.
UGCAAGUCGAGGGGCAGCAGGGAAGUAGCUUGCUACUUCUGCUGGCGACCGGCGCACGGGUGCGUAACGCGUAUGCAACCUACCUUUAACAGGGGGAUAAUCCGAAGAAAUUUGGUCUAAUACCCCAUAAUAUUGAUUAAGGCAUCUUGAUCAGUUGAAAGUUCCGACGGUUAAAGAUGGGCAUGCGUUGUAUUAGCUAGUUGGUGAGGUAACGGCUCACCAAGGCUACGAUACAUAGGGGGACUGAGAGGUUUUCCCCCCACACUGGUACUGAGACACGGACCAGACUCCUACGGGAGGCAGCAGUGAGGAAUAUUGGUCAAUGGACGCAAGUCUGAACCAGCCAUGCCGCGUGCAGGAUGAAUGUGCUAUGCAUUGUAAACUGCUUUUGUACGAGGGUAAAAACAGGUACGUGUACCUGGUUGAAAGUAUCGUACGAAUAAGGGUCGGCUAACUCCGUGCCAGCAGCCGCGGUAAUACGGAGGACCCGAGCGUUAUCCGGAUUUAUUGGGUUUAAAGGGUGCGUAGGCGGAUUGGUAAGUUAGAGGUGAAAGCUCAGCGCUUAACGUUGAAACUGCCUCUGAUACUGUCGGUCUAGAGUAUAGUUGCGGAAGGCGGAAUGUGUGGUGUAGCGGUGAAAUGCUUAGAUAUCACACAGAACACCGAUUGCGAAGGCAGCUUUCCAAGCUAUCACUGACGCUGAG